Long non-coding RNA from Cyprinus carpio (common carp), 416 nucleotides. RefSeq lists it as uncharacterized. Lineage: Eukaryota; Metazoa; Chordata; Actinopteri; Cypriniformes; Cyprinidae. The record is from RefSeq and is a predicted model, not a curated record. The transcript is spliced from 3 exons.
CCUGUUGCAAUUUCGUCAUUAACCCGUAAACGAGAUUAAUGGUUGCCCUGGAAACUGGGGGUGCAUAAUAUUUACAUGCAUUCCGAGGGAGCCGCUCCCCUCCUGCACGCACACACGCACAGGCUCUCACUACUUCAACAGAAAAACAACAGCUUGAAUGGCUUGAAGAUCUAGAAGACAGAGCAACCAAUUCAUCUGGACCAAUUUGGGCAAAGAGAGAGAUUUAAGCACACGAGAAAUAACGGCCAUGUAUAAGUAACUCUGGACCAAAAACAGGCAACUGCAGUGCAGGAGUGCAUGUUAUAAGUUAAAGUAGCAUUAAAAAUGACAGACCUGGGAGAGUUAAAGUCACAUCCAGCUAGAAAGGAUGCAUUUUGCAACAUUAAACCACAUUUUGCAAAAAAAAAAAAAAAAAA